UCAAACGGGGGGUUAGGUCCAGGGCGGACCGGGUCAGAUCCGACCCGGUUUAUUUGUUACUAACAACAAACAAACUCGGAAACCCUAAGCCAGAAUCAUGGCCGCUCAACAGAGUUUGGAAACAACGUGUAACCAAACGAAAAACUUCUUCCUCUUCAUAUCGAUUUCGGACUCCUUCCCGGAUUCCAUUUGACUUCUCACCGUGAUUUUGGCCGACCAACACAAUACACCUGUGAUGGCGCCUCCUCGCCCAAGAGAAACUCAGAAAUCCCGCGUGAGAUAGGAACCGAAAGUGUAAGUCGAACCUCACCCAAGUGAAACUCGGAAACCCCUUUUAUUCUACCAUUAGCAAAUCAAAAAAAUUUGGACUUCGUCCUCUCUAAUCGCACAAAGGAAUCGACAGUAACAAUAUCAUAUUUUGUUAGGCAAGUCAAGAAGUCAUGGGGGAACACUACGCAUCAGAGACGUAACAAUAUCAUCGAUGAAACAACAACAUUAAAGACAAUGAUGAUUUCAUACUGGUUCAUUUGUUCACAGGUUGUCAUGAUUACAAGGAUUCGCGGCAUCAGUUAUAAGGAUUUGUGGCAUCGGUAAAAAAGGGAGUGGUAAGAUUAGAAUAAAAGUAAAGAAGUUUUACCUACAGAGAAGAUACCAAGCCUGCACAGGUGUUCCAGGACAAGGUAUGUACAAAGCCAAGUUGUUUCUACAUAUGAAUACAAGAAGAAAAAGACAAAACACACUUGGCAACUAUGAGGAAACCACAUUCCUAGGAUAUUAUUUUUUUGUAAUUUUUUCAAUUCCUUAAUGUAUUCAAAAAUGUAGAAUUCUUGGGACAAAAAGUGUAAAACAAAAAUGUGAAUUUAUUCCUCUUUUUGGAUUA
This is a long non-coding RNA of Lathyrus oleraceus (garden pea), 880 nucleotides long. RefSeq lists it as uncharacterized. The record is from RefSeq and is a predicted model, not a curated record. NCBI's taxonomy places the organism in Eukaryota, Viridiplantae, Streptophyta, Magnoliopsida, Fabales, Fabaceae. The transcript is spliced from 2 exons.